GUCCAUGGUGCCACUCCCAAUCUGGUUCACAUUGGGCAAGGACCCGCCGUAGUACUGGCCGCGGCUCGGGCCCAGUUGCAGGUACUGGGAUUUCUGGAGCUGGAGCUGCGAGAGAGAAGCCGGCAGCUGCGGGAGGGGUCACUCCCAGGUUCAUCCGGAGCGCCAGCCCCAAAGACAUAAAAAGACCCAAGCGGUGGAAUCAACAGCAUCUAGGCAGAAGUUCUGAGGACCAGGGGAUGCCAUUUCUUAUCACGGCCGGAAGCUGUGACUUGACAGGCCAGGCGGCUUUCCAAUGGCCUGAGUCGGAGGGCGGCCUCAGAAGCACGCUCCUGGCGGUGCAUGGAGAGCUGGCCGCCCCACCGCCCCAGCUUCCUGGGGGGCCGUGGAUACCGGAGGCGGAAGUGAAGCCCGGGAACUACUGGCUGCCUGCCCGGUGGAGCACCUCGCCCAGGUAAACAGCUGUUUCCUGUGAGCUGUAGUGGAGCCCAUGGUAAGAUUAACCAUGUUCGUUCUCGGGUGGCUCUCAAGGGCCUGGGGUUCUGACCCAGGGUCUGUGCUGGGAGCCCUUGGUGGCUGCUGGCCAGACACACCCACCAUGAACACCCACAGUGUCCCUCCCAGCAGUCAUACCAGAUGAAACAGCCCAGCUCCAGGCUGUGGCAAGGGGAGGAGGUGGAGGGUGGGGACCCCACAGCUCCCACCCCACGCCUACCUGGGUACGGGUCACCUGUGGCCUCCCGUGACCUUCUCUGCCCCCUUCUGUGUCCAAGCAGCAUGGCAGAAACCUGUGCUACAUCCACUUCUCACAGACCACGUGGCCCCAGAGGCUGUGACCCCUCGUGGACAUGUGUCUCCCACCUAGAGUGCUACAGGCAGGUAUAAGAGGGACACACGGCAUGUGACACACAGCAGGUACUCAUGCCACACGCGCUUUCUACACGGGCUGAGCCACCAGCUCUAGGAGGCCAGACCUCAGGAGCAAGAACUCCUUGAACUGGCUUUGUUCACACCAUGUCCCCAGCCCACAGGAAGCCUGGCAUGCAGGGACGAUUGACAGGACUGGGGAGACACAGAACUCCCAUGGUUCCCAAGCUCCAUCUCUGUUCAAGCCUUUCCCGCGAUACCCAGCUCCCGUACACUUUGCUGGAGGCACUCAGGCUUUGGACCAGGAGUGGAUGUUGAGUGGGGACUCUUUUCUUUUCUGAGAUAGAGUGUCGCUCUGUUACCCAAGCUGGAAUACCGGAGUACGUUGGUGCCAUCUCGGCUCACUGCCACCUCCACCUCCUGGGCUCAAGUGAUUCUCCUGCCUCAGCCUCCCGAGUAGCUGGGAUUACAGCCACAAGCCACCAGGCCUGGCCAAUUUUUUUUUUUUUUUUUUUUUUUUGGUAUUUCUAGUAGAGAUGGGGUUUUUCACCAUGUUGCUCAGGCUGA
Molecule: non-coding RNA, 1431 nt
Organism: Callithrix jacchus (white-tufted-ear marmoset)
Lineage: Eukaryota; Metazoa; Chordata; Mammalia; Primates; Cebidae
Source: RefSeq, a predicted model, not a curated record